Molecule: ribosomal RNA, 425 nt
Filed under: Pseudomonadota bacterium
Lineage: Bacteria; Pseudomonadati; Pseudomonadota
Description: bacterial SSU rRNA
Rfam family: Bacterial small subunit ribosomal RNA
Source: RNAcentral
CAAUUGGAGAGUUUGAUCCUGGCUCAGAUUGAACGCUGGCGGCAUGCCUAACACAUGCAAGUCGAACGCGAAAGGGGGCAACCCCGAGUAGAGUGGCGGACGGGUGCGUAACACGUGGGAAUCUACCCAGUAGCGGGGGACAACCCGGCGAAAGCCGGGCUAAUACCGCAUAAGCCCUACGGGGGAAAGCAGGGGAUCUUCGGACCUUGCACUAUUGGAUGAGCCCGCGGCGGAUUAGCUAGUUGGUAGGGUAAAGGCCUACCAAGGCGACGAUCCGUAGCUGGUCUGAGAGGACGACCAGCCACACUGGGACUGAGACACGGCCCAGACUCCUACGGGAGGCAGCAGUGGGGAAUAUUGGACAAUGGGGGCAACCCUGAUCCAGCAAUGCCGCGUGUGUGAAGAAGGCCUUCGGGUUGUAAAGC